This 605-nucleotide long non-coding RNA is filed under the name Gossypium barbadense (sea-island cotton). RNAcentral describes it as "long non-coding RNA (GBAR_LNC023069)". Lineage: Eukaryota; Viridiplantae; Streptophyta; Magnoliopsida; Malvales; Malvaceae. The record is from RNAcentral.
UCCUGCCUUGAACCAUACCGGUUCCUUGAAAUCAACCCUAAGCCAUUUCUCAAGUACUUCUGGUGUGAUACAGCCUAGUGCUCCCAACAUUGCCCAUCUUCCAUGGAUGACCUGAAUGUUUUGUUUUGGUAUCAAAGAAGUGAAUAUUUAUCAAGGCAUGAGGUAUAGCUUUUAAUGAAAAUGAAAAGUUACAAAAUAGUCACUUAUUUAUUCAAUUUUACUUUUUUUUACUCACUAGUUUGACUAACAUAAAAAUGAAUGGAUUGAGUGAUUAUUUUGUAAUUUUUCAUAAUUAGGUAAUAAAAAAUCAUAAUUGAGUGACUACUAAUAUAAUUUAUUCAAAACUAUAAUCUUCUAAAUUUUGGGCUUGGAAAAAAUACUUUUAAAAUCAAAUAAUAUUUUUAACCUUGAUAUAUAAUGUAAUAUUUAUGUUAUGUGGGAGGGUUACCUCAAGAGCCCUAUUCCUGGCAAAGGCCUCAGGGUCGGCUGACAAACCAGCAGUGUCCCAACCAUAGUCACCAGGGAAUUCUCCAGUCAAGUAAGAUGGAGUCUGAGCUGAAAAUGGUCCCAAGUACUUCACUCUGUCUGGUCCAUACCAUAGUUCA